GGGGUAUUCAUCUAGUCUGGCUCAGGAUGCGACACUUCCACUGUCGUCACGAGGGUUCGAAUCCUUCAUACCUCAC
This 76-nucleotide transfer RNA is filed under the name Mycobacterium phage Rey. RNAcentral's name for it is "tRNA-Gly". It matches the Rfam family "tRNA". From Rfam's summary of the family: Transfer RNA (tRNA) molecules are approximately 80 nucleotides in length. The record is from RNAcentral. Lineage: Duplodnaviria; Heunggongvirae; Uroviricota; Caudoviricetes; Vilmaviridae.